Molecule: small nucleolar RNA, 133 nt
Organism: Hippopotamus amphibius kiboko
Lineage: Eukaryota; Metazoa; Chordata; Mammalia; Artiodactyla; Hippopotamidae
Product: small nucleolar RNA SNORA22
Exons: 1
Source: RefSeq, a predicted model, not a curated record
AUGCUUAAAAAUAGUUAAGAUGGCUUUAUAGUUUCCUUGGCUUUGACACUGUGCUAAAGCAAUAUCUGUUCUUUUCCUAUGCAUUUAACAGAUUAUUUAGCCUCUUAAAUGUAGUCAGAAAGUUAGCACAUUU